ACCUUCAAGCGAGGGAUGGCCUGAAGCCUGCAGGCCGGACUGUCAGUUCCAUGUGGAGUCCAGGACCCAGAGUGAGAACUUCACUGAUGCCUUUCGGCCAAUCGGAUGGUGCUUUUUCCAGGCCCACCCAUGACCGCCCAUGGACCAAUCAGCAUGCACUUCCUCUAUUCUGAGUCCAUAAAAAUCCCUGGAUUUGUACACGCUCUCUUCGGGAUGACCUGCCUAUGCCAUGAAGCUGAGGAUUGGUAGCCCUUUUAGAGGAACACGUGCUUCCAGACCAGGUUGGAGUGCAGCAGCGUGGCCCCGGCUCACUGCAGUCUUAACCUUCCCUGGCUCAAGUGAUUCUCCUGCUUCAGGUUCCCGAGUAGCUAGGACUACAGGUAUGUACAGGCUAAUUUUUGUAUUUUUUGUAGAGAGAGGGUUUCAUCAUGUUUUCCAGGCUGUCUUGAACUCCUGAAUUCAGGUGAUCUACCCAUCUCGGCUUCCCAAAGCACUGGGAUUACAGAAAACAGCCACAGCACCCAGCCUUCAAAGUAGUUUUGAUUUGAAUUUCUCUGAUGAUCAAUGAUGUUGAGUACCUUUUCAUAUACUUGUUUUGUACUUGCAUGUCUUCUUUUGAGAAAUGUCUAUACAGAUAUUUUGCCCGUUUUUAAAUCAGAUUACUAGAUUUUUUCCUACAGAGUCGUUUGAGCUUUUAAUAUAUUCUGGUUAUUAAUCCCUUGUAAGACAGAUUGCAAAUAUUUUCUCUCAUUCCAUGGACUGUUGUUUCACUUUGUUGAUUUUUUUUCCCUUAGCUGUGCAGAAACUUUUAAACUUGAUGUGAUCCCAUUUGUUCAUUUCUGCUUUAGCUGCAUGUGCUUUUUGGGUAUUCCUCAAGAAAUCUUUGCCAGUUCAAUGUCCUGGAGAGUUUCUCCAAAGUUUUCCUUUAGCAGUUUCAUAGUUUGAAGUCUUAUAUUUAAGACUUUAAUCUAUUAUGUUUGAUUUUUGUAUAUGGUGAGAGAUAGGAAUCUAGUUUCAUUCUUCUGCGUAUGAAUAUUUAGUUUUCCAAGCACCAUUUAUUGAACCUUUCUAAAGGUAUGCUUCUUUAGAGGGACAACUAGAUUUUAAUGCUGCAGCUGAAAUUUCGUUUCAAAGAGUAUAAGAUGUUUACUUCACAAAUUACAUGACCUCUUUCUCUUAUUUUUGUUUUUAUCAUUAGAAAACUGUGGAAUCUGUUUUUUACUGGCACUUUCCAGGAAAAAAAAAAAAAUUGCAUAGGUUUCUCAUUUUCUGGUUGGUUUCUCAUGUAAGUUUCAGUGUGAAUUUGAGAACACAGCAGAGUUUUAAAGAUAAAUUCUUGGUGGGGAAACAAAGAAUUUGGUUUAGCUGUGAGUCAUCUUGUAUCCAAAUUAUAUGAAAAGGGGAAAAUAUAUUUUGGGGGAUAUCUUUCACACAUACAAAAAACUUGUAUUGUGCAAUCGAUUUUGCUUAUCAAUGUGACUUAGAAGAAAUGUCAGUACCUGAAAAAGAAAUAAUUGUGGUGAAUAAUUUUUUGAUGUGAGGGGACAGGGUCUGACUCUUGCCCAGGCUAGAGCUUAGUGACACAGUCACAGUUCACUGCAGCCUUGGCCACCAUGCCUGGCUAGUUUUUUGUAGAGAUGGGGUUUGACCAUGUUUGCUAGGCUGGUCUCAAAUUCCUGGAUUCAAGCAAUCUUCCCGCCUCAGCCUCCCAAAGCACUGGGAUUAUAGGUGUGAGCCACCACACCCAGCCCAGGAAUAUUUUUAAGUUGACUUAAAACUUUACGUUUUGGUGAGAGAAAGCAUUUAUAUUUAAAUAUACAUUGUUAAAAUUUUGAAACUUACGUAUUUCCCUAAAAAGAAAUAAAAGUAUCUUAACUUAUUUUUCAAAUUCAUGUCACAAGAAAAUAAUUUAGUAAACAGAAAUCUGUCAUAUUCACUAGAAAAAUUAGGUCUUAUAUUUAGUUUUCAAAAUAAAUAAGUGGAAACUCUAAAGCAAGGUUAAAUUUUACCUUUCCUUUGUGUACAAUAACAUAGCUAAUAUUUAUAGAACAGGACUAUGGUGGAGGCAUUAUCUAUCAAUUUUUAGAGUUUAAUAUACAAUUGUAUAACUGAAUAAGAGAAUGUUUAAGAGAGGAAGCUUCUUAGUCAUAAUUUAAUUGCUUUCCUCCAAUUUAGACAUAAUACAAUUGACAUAAACAUACACCUGCAAUGUGUGAUAAGUUUUAUGUUGUGGUACUAUUGAAGCAGAGGAAUAGCUAACACAGGCUGAAGUGGUUUAGUAAAAAAAAAAAAAAAACAACAACAACUUUAAAAUACGCUGGCUCUUGCAGUCAUCC
Molecule: long non-coding RNA, 2336 nt
Organism: Pan troglodytes (chimpanzee)
Lineage: Eukaryota; Metazoa; Chordata; Mammalia; Primates; Hominidae
Exons: 3
Source: RefSeq, a predicted model, not a curated record